RNAcentral lists this unclassified non-coding RNA (500 nucleotides) under Zea mays. RNAcentral describes it as "misc RNA Zm00001eb109650". Lineage: Eukaryota; Viridiplantae; Streptophyta; Magnoliopsida; Poales; Poaceae. The record is from RNAcentral.
AAUCAGACCUCGUCCUCGUGGAGCAUCAUGUUGGGGAUGCCCUUGUUGAUGGGGAAGCAGCGGCUGGUGUCGGGGCAGACGAGGGAGCCCUCCUGGACAUGAACCUCGAGGAGCGCGUGGUGGAUGCGGCGGAUGGCGCUUCCCUCGACGUCGGCGGCGCCGUCGGCGAAGAUCUCCUCCUCGGGGGGCUGCUCCUCGGGGAGGAGCUCAGGGAGGCCGACCGCGCGGGUGGCGGCGACGAGCGCGCGCCAGUCGAUCUUGGGGAGGAGACCGCGGAUGAAGUCGGAGUUGAGCUCCACCUCCUUGGUGCACCAGUUGGUCGCCUCCAGCGUCAGCGGGUAGCCGGUGGUUGCGCCCCGGACGUUCGACGCCAGCAUGUUGUGCGUCAGGAGCCUCAUCUCUCUCGCGUGGCUCGCCUCGCGGUCUCGCGCUGCUCCGGCGGCGCGGUGCGGCUGCGGCGGAGUAAAACCCUAGCGGAGACGGCGUGCAAUGGGGAAUGC